GACGAACGCUGGCGGCAUGCCUAACACAUGCAAGUCGAACGGAAGGUUCGGCCUUAGUGGCGCAGGUGUGCGUAAGACGUGGUAAUCUGCCCGUGGGUUCGGAAUAACAGAUGGAAACGUCUGCUCAUACCAGAGGAUGACAAAAGGCCAAGGAUGUAUCGCCAGAGGGUGGGGCCGGGUUAGAUUAGGUGGUUGGUGGUGUAAAGGCCGACCAAUCCGACGAUCCAUAGCUGGUCUGGUAGGAUGAUACGCUACACUGGGAAUGAGACACGGCCCAGACUGCUACGGGGGGCAGCAGUGGGGAGUAUAGGAGAAUGGGCGCAAGCCUGACAAAGCAAUGCCGCGUGAGUGAGGCAGGCCCUAGGGUUGUAAAGCUCUUUUACCCGGGACGAUAAUGACGGUACCGGGAGAAUAAGCCCCGGCUAACUCCGUG
Molecule: ribosomal RNA, 433 nt
Filed under: uncultured bacterium
Lineage: Bacteria
Description: partial 16S ribosomal RNA
Rfam family: Bacterial small subunit ribosomal RNA
Source: RNAcentral